UGAGGAAUAUUGGUCAAUGGACGAGAGUCUGAACCAGCCAAGUCGCGUGAAGGAAGACGGAUCUAUGGUUUGUAAACUUCUUUAGUGCGGGAACAAAGCGGCGUCGUGACGCCGGAUGAGUGUACCGCAAGAAUAAGCAUCGGCUAACUCCGUGCCAGCAGCCGCGGUAAUACGGAGGAUGCGAGCGUUAUCCGGAUUUAUUGGGUUUAAAGGGAGCGCAGGCUGCGAGGCAAGUCAGCGGUCAAAUGUCGGGGCUCAACCCCGGCCUGCCGUUGAAACUGUCCUGCUAGAGUUCGAGUGAGGUAUGCGGAAUGCGUUGUGUAGCGGUGAAAUGCAUAGAUAUGACGCAGAACUCCGAUUGCGAAGGCAGCAUACCAACUCGCGACUGACGCUGAGGCUCGAAAGCGUGGGUAUCGAACAGG
This 422-nucleotide ribosomal RNA is filed under the name uncultured bacterium. RNAcentral describes it as "bacterial SSU rRNA". It matches the Rfam family "Bacterial small subunit ribosomal RNA", at positions 355 to 776 of the family's 1533-position model. The record is from RNAcentral.